AGGAACAACCCCAGUGGUGGCAGCCAGCUCUGGAGCCUGGAUUCAGCUCCUGCAGCAACUACAGAGCUCUCCAUCUACAGGGCCUGGCGGCUCCGGGGUGGG
Molecule: non-coding RNA, 102 nt
Organism: Canis lupus familiaris (dog)
Lineage: Eukaryota; Metazoa; Chordata; Mammalia; Carnivora; Canidae
Source: Rfam